RNAcentral lists this unclassified non-coding RNA (547 nucleotides) under Hevea brasiliensis (rubber tree). The record is from RNAcentral. Lineage: Eukaryota; Viridiplantae; Streptophyta; Magnoliopsida; Malpighiales; Euphorbiaceae.
AAAAGAUGGUAAUUUCCAAUAGAGACUGAAAAGAUGGUAAUUUUUCAAAGUAGCAAGAUCAAGAAAAACAUAAUGAUAAAAGAUUGUCAGGUAACAAAAAUCAUCAAUCUUCAAGUACUAUCAGACUCAAAAUGUCAGGAAUGCUCAAAAUUACCAAAACCAUGUACUACAUCCAACAAUAACUAAAACGAGACCCAAAAAUAGCAGGAAUUACAUUCCAGUGAACUAAGCGGCAAUGGAUGGCUUAGACGCUGCAGAGAGUCUGGACCUCUUCUUAGCCAAACUCUCGCUGCGCCUUUCUCUUUGUUCCUUCAACCUUGAAGCAAGAAGCUUCUGAUAAUCAGCUGCCUCUGACUUGGCCUUGGCAAUUCUUUUCUUCUUGUCAGCAAUUCUUGCCCUCUUUCUUUGCAGAGUCAAUGGUGUCACGAGCCUCUGAAUCUUAGGAGCUUUGCUUGCAUUUUUCCCAGUCUUGGUAGUGAAAUUUCUGCGAUAGGUGUUGACAUACUUCCUGACAUCAUCUUCCUUGGAAAGAUUGAAGAGCUUUCUG